GGUUGACCUCGGAUCAGA
Molecule: ribosomal RNA, 18 nt
Filed under: Cladophialophora eucalypti
Lineage: Eukaryota; Fungi; Ascomycota; Eurotiomycetes; Chaetothyriales; Herpotrichiellaceae
Description: partial 28S ribosomal RNA
Source: RNAcentral